RNAcentral lists this ribosomal RNA (1632 nucleotides) under human gut metagenome. RNAcentral describes it as "bacterial LSU rRNA". It matches the Rfam family "Bacterial large subunit ribosomal RNA", at positions 800 to 2518 of the family's 2925-position model. The record is from RNAcentral.
GCGGAUGAACUGUGGGUAGCGGAGAAAUUCCAAUCGAACCCGGAGAUAGCUGGUUCUCCCCGAAAUAGUUUUAGGACUAGCCUCAAGUUAGAUACCUGGAGGUAAAGCACUGAAUAGCCUAGCGGCCGAGAGGUUAGCGAAGCUUAUCAAACUCAGAAUGCCAGAGUAUUGAUGCUUGGGAGUCAGACAGUGUCAGAUAAAUGUCAUUGUCAAAAGGGAAACAGCCCAGAUCUACAGCUAAGGUCCCAAAGUCAGGUUAAGUGGAAAACGAUGUGAAGAUACGCAGACAACCAGGAUGUUGGCUCAGAAGCAGCCACUCAUUCAAAGAGUGCGUAAUAGCUCACUGGUCGAGCGUCUUUGCGCGGAGAAUUUAACGGGGCUAAACCUGACACCGAAGCUUAGGCAAUACAGCAAUGUAUUGGGUAGGGGAGCGUUGUAUACGCGGUGAAACAGUAGCGCAAGCGGCUGUGGAGUGUAUAGAAGUGAGAAUGCCGGAAUGAGUAGCGCGAAUGCAGUGAGAAUCUGCAUGGCCGAAAGCCUCAGGUUUCUGGAGGAAGGUUCGUCCGCUCCAGGUUAGUCGGGAGCUAAGGUGAGGCCUAACGGCGUAGCCGAUGCACAGACGGUAGAGAUUCCGUCACCACCAAAAGAGUUAAACACAGGGACACAUUUGAAGUCUCGGAGCCGGGUGUUGGUUCCGGUAGCGAUCGAGGGAAGUUAGUACCGAAGUCCGGGAUGGAAGAUGGCGAGAAAAGCUGUGUGUAUUUCUGCGGUGCCCGUACCGCAAACCGACACAGGUAGGUAGGAAGAAGAUUCUAAGGCCAACGGGAGAAGGGUUGUUAAGGAACUCGGCAAAUUGACCCCGUAACUUCGGGAGAAGGGGUGCUCCAGAGAUGGAGCCGCAGAGAAUCGGCCCAAGCAACUGUUUACCAAAAACACAGGUUUGUGCUAAAUCGAAAGAUGACGUAUACGAGCUGACGCCUGCCCGGUGCUGGAAGGUUAAGAGGAGAUGUGCAAGCAUUGAAUCGAAGCCCCAGUGAACGGCGGCCGUAACUAUAACGGUCCUAAGGUAGCGAAAUUCCUUGUCAGGUAAGUUCUGACCCGCAUGAAAGGCGUAAUGAUUUGGGCACUGUCUCAACAGCCCGCCCGGCGAAAUUGUAGUACCGGUGAAGAUGCCGGUUACCCGCGACAAGACGGAAAGACCCCAUGGAGCUUUACUGUAGCCUAAUAUUGGGUUUCGAUGUUGCAUGCACAGGAUAGAUGGGACACAGGGAAACAAGUGCUUUGGCAUUUGUGGAGUGGCCGUUGGGAUACCAUCCUUGCGAUAUUGGAAUUCUAACCUGCGCCUUUGAAUCAAGGCGGGGGACAUUGUUAGGUGGGCAGUUUGACUGGGGCGGUCGCCUCCUAAAGAGUAACGGAGGCGUUCAAAGGUUCGCUCAGCUUGAACGGAAAUCAAGCAAAAGAGUGCAAACGCAGAAGCGAGCCUAACUGCGAGACUGACGGGUCGAGCAGUAACGAAAGUUGGAGUUAGUGAUCCGGUGGUAUGUGAGUGGAAAUGCCAUCGCUCAACGGAUAAAAGUUACCCUGGGGAUAACAGGCUGAUCUCCCCCAAGAGUCCACAUCGACGGGGAGGUU